CCCUUGACAGCAGAGUACUCCACAGUUGGUCACAUUCAGUGAUGAUGUACUCCUACAUCUCAUCUGCAUGCCAUAUCAGUAUCUCUAUACCAUUUGAUUAUGAGGACAACCAACGCAUAUGGCACACAACGACCUACACUUGAUAUCACUAUCAUCCUAAUAAUAGCGUAUCGUUUGGUCAUGAACCAGUUUAAGGACUAUGCGAUAAAUCUUUCUUUAUCGAUCAAAAUAAUCCUACGAAU
Molecule: long non-coding RNA, 242 nt
Filed under: Elaeis guineensis (African oil palm)
Lineage: Eukaryota; Viridiplantae; Streptophyta; Magnoliopsida; Arecales; Arecaceae
Description: long non-coding RNA (EGUI_LNC040734)
Source: RNAcentral